Molecule: transfer RNA, 79 nt
Filed under: Acinetobacter baumannii
Lineage: Bacteria; Pseudomonadati; Pseudomonadota; Gammaproteobacteria; Moraxellales; Moraxellaceae
Description: tRNA-Glu
Rfam family: tRNA
About the family: Transfer RNA (tRNA) molecules are approximately 80 nucleotides in length. Their secondary structure includes four short double-helical elements and three loops (D, anti-codon, and T loops).
Source: RNAcentral
GUCCCUAUCGUCUAGAGGCCUAGGACAUCGGCCCUUUCACGGCGGUAACCAGGGGUUCGAAUUCCCCGUAGGGACGCCA